CUACGGGGGGCAGCAGUGAGGAAUAUUGGACAAUGGUCGAAAGACUGAUCCAGCCAUGCCGCGUGCAGGAUGACUGCCCUAUGGGUUGUAAACUGCUUUUAUACGGGAAGAAAAACACCUACGUGUAGGUGACUGACGGUACCGUAAGAAUAAGGACCGGCUAACUCCGUGCCAGCAGCCGCGGUAAUACGGAGGGUCCAAGCGUUAUCCGGAAUCAUUGGGUUUAAAGGGUCCGUAGGCGGGCUAUUAAGUCAGAGGUGAAAGUUUGCAGCUCAACUGUAAAAUUGCCUUUGAUACUGAUAGUCUUGAAUUGUAGUGAAGUGGUUAGAAUAUGUGGUGUAGCGGUGAAAUGCAUAGAUAUCACAUAGAAUACCGAUUGCGAAGGCAGAUCACUAACUAUAUAUUGACGCUGAGGGACGAAAGCGUGGGGAGCGAACGGGAUUAGAUACCCGUGUAGUC
RNAcentral lists this ribosomal RNA (459 nucleotides) under uncultured bacterium. Its description in RNAcentral is "partial 16S ribosomal RNA". It matches the Rfam family "Bacterial small subunit ribosomal RNA", at positions 339 to 795 of the family's 1533-position model. The record is from RNAcentral.